UACGUAGGGUGCGAGCGUUGUCCGGAAUCAUUGGGCGUAAAGGGUACGUAGGCGGUUAGAAAAGUUAGAAGUGAAAGGCUAUAGCUCAACUAUAGUAAGCUUUUAAAACUGUUUAACUUGAGAGAUGGAAGGGAAAGUGGAAUUUUUAGUGUAGCGGUGAAAUGCGUAGAUAUUAAAAAGAAUACCGGUGGCGAAGGCGACUUACUGGGCUCAUUCUGACGCUGAGGAACGAAAGCGUGGGGAGCAAACAGG
Molecule: ribosomal RNA, 252 nt
Filed under: uncultured bacterium
Lineage: Bacteria
Description: partial 16S ribosomal RNA
Rfam family: Bacterial small subunit ribosomal RNA
Source: RNAcentral